This 1001-nucleotide long non-coding RNA is filed under the name Vombatus ursinus (common wombat). RNAcentral's name for it is "lncRNA (ENSVURG00010018271.1)". The record is from RNAcentral. Lineage: Eukaryota; Metazoa; Chordata; Mammalia; Diprotodontia; Vombatidae.
CCAACACACUCAUGUCCAUCAACAUAACUAAUGAGACCCGGGUGUUCGUGCUCACGACACCCCCUCUGACCUUCUUGCCGGUAGGAACGGACAAGCCUUUUGCCGACUCGGAUUUCUUUCGGGCUGUCCUGAACCGGGGUAAGAGGGGCUUUGAAGUGACUGCUGUGGACUUCAUUGGGCUAGUGGCCAGUCUGAUAGAACAAGUGGAGAUUAGCACCCUCUACAAGCGAGUAGGCCUAGUCGAAGAUAAUCUUAGGGAUUUUAUGCAGCUCACAACCAAGGCCUGGAUUGCCCAACAAGACAUUAAUAAAUUGGUGACCAUAGAAUUGUUGGCCCUUACAUUGGCCGUGCAAGCCUUAGCCACCCUCAUACAGGUUAACUCCGUGCUAGAGGGCCUCCCUUGCCAUCAUGUACUACCCAGGCCAAUGUGCAUGACGGCCGCCGUGCACAACGCAUCCAGGGAGCUGGAUGAGGCAAUCCGGACCUUGAAUGAGCAUAGCAAUAUGUCUGACUAUCUCAGACGCCUAGAAGAUAUAGUACUACAGAUAAAGAAUGAGACAGACCAAUAUAAGCAGCAGAUACAAAAGGACCAUGGCAUUCUCCCCGAGUGGUUUAACCAGCUUGAAUUGUCUAAUUGGCUUAAUUAUGUACUGAGUAUGGGAAGCAUGGUUUUCUUUCUCUUGGUCAUGUGUAUAUGCCUCCCCUGCUUGCUAUCUUACGUGGUACGGCUUUGGCGUAUGGUCUUAGAGCAAGUAAAAGCGGAUAUAUUCCUGCGUAAACAAAAAGGGGGAGUUGUUAGGGGCGGUCGGCCCUAGACGCCUGAGCGGAUAGGAACCUCCCUGGGAGUGAGAGCCCCCAAUCCCAGAAAGACACGGCUCCCUACACGGGGUACGUGUAAGGAUGGGAUUGGGCGAGACUCUUUGCUCCAUACAGGUGGCAGGUUUCGCCCUUGGGGCGGAUUGGGGUGGCCACCCGGAAGACAGACCCUAUAUAGACCAACG